AUGUCGUGCUCCUCCUUGGAGGUGCCGCCUGGGGAGGGAUCGUGUUCGGGUGAGGUGUGUCAAAGGUCCGAGCUUUGGGCGGCUCUGGUUGUCCGACGGCGGCGAUUUCGUCGGGAUUUGCAUGGCCGGCAUUGUCCCCAUUCCCUCACGGGUGGUGCCCACUGGUUGUGGCGUGUUUGGCUCAAGGCUGGCGGUACAACGCCUUUGAUCCGGCGGUAG
RNAcentral lists this ribosomal RNA (219 nucleotides) under Triticum aestivum (bread wheat). Its description in RNAcentral is "partial small subunit ribosomal RNA". The record is from RNAcentral. Lineage: Eukaryota; Viridiplantae; Streptophyta; Magnoliopsida; Poales; Poaceae.